Molecule: ribosomal RNA, 253 nt
Filed under: uncultured bacterium
Lineage: Bacteria
Description: partial 16S ribosomal RNA
Rfam family: Bacterial small subunit ribosomal RNA
Source: RNAcentral
UACGUAGGGUGCAAGCGUUAAUCGGAAUUACUGGGCGUAAAGCGUGCGCAGGCGGUUGUGCAAGACCGAUGUGAAAUCCCCGGGCUUAACCUGGGAAUGGCAUUGGUGACUGUACGGCUAGAGUGUGUCAGAGGGGGGUAGAAUUCCACGUGUAGCAGUGAAAUGCGUAGAGACGUGGAGGAAUACCGAUGGCGAAGGCAGCCCCCUGGGAUAACACUGACGCUCAUGCACGAAAGCGUGGGGAGCAAACAGG